This 209-nucleotide ribosomal RNA is filed under the name uncultured bacterium. RNAcentral describes it as "partial 16S ribosomal RNA". It matches the Rfam family "Bacterial small subunit ribosomal RNA", at positions 568 to 774 of the family's 1533-position model. The record is from RNAcentral.
CACGCAGGCGGUCUUGAAAGUUUCGAGUGACAGGUGGUGGCUUAACUGCCACAGGCCUUGGAAAACUGCAAGACUUGAGGACGAGAGAGGGAUGCGGAAUUCCAGGUGGAGCGGUGAAAUGCGUAGAGAUCUGGAAGAACACCAAAGGCGAAGGCAGCAUCCUGGUACGAACCUGACGCUCAUGUGCGAAAAGGCUAGGGGAGCGAACG